UACGUAGGGUGCAAGCGUUAAUCGGAAUUACUGGGCGUAAAGCGUGCGCAGGCGGCUUUGUAAGUCUGUCGUGAAAGCCCCGGGCUCAACCGGGGAAUUGCGAUGGAGACUGCAAGGCUUGAAUCUGGCAGAGGGGGGUAGAAUUCCACGUGUAGCAGUGAAAUGCGUAGAGAUUUGGAGGAACACCGAUGGCGAAGGCAGAUCCCUGGGUCAAGAUUGACGCUCAUGCACGAAAGCGUGGGGAGCAAACAGG
Molecule: ribosomal RNA, 253 nt
Filed under: uncultured bacterium
Lineage: Bacteria
Description: partial 16S ribosomal RNA
Rfam family: Bacterial small subunit ribosomal RNA
Source: RNAcentral